Molecule: long non-coding RNA, 808 nt
Filed under: Musa acuminata (dwarf banana)
Lineage: Eukaryota; Viridiplantae; Streptophyta; Magnoliopsida; Zingiberales; Musaceae
Description: long non-coding RNA (MACU_LNC006320)
Source: RNAcentral
AAAAAAGUCCAAUAUAUUUAUAAGCUUUAGUAAUGGUUGUUACAUAAAUAUUUUUAACUAAACACUGGGAAAAAAAAAAGAUUUACUGUGAUAAAUGUCUUGAUCUACUUCAGUAAUCCUAAUAUGUUAAGCAAUUAGGAAAUGCUUGUAGAAGACACAAGGCAACUUUUUGUCAGCACAUUCAAUUUAUCACUUGUACUAGACCAAAUUUUGGUUACAAAAUGGCACUUUGAACAACAACACAAUGCUAGAAAAAUAAAAGGAAGCAUGACUGCCUCCCACAGAGCUCAAAUCAACACUUCCUAAAAGCUGCUCCUUCCACCGCCUCAGGUUGUCAUCACCCUGCACUUCAAUAUCAAUUCAAGAAGAACACAAUGAUAUCAGACCACACUUAUAGCAAGAAGGUGAGGUUAAAGGAGAAGCAGACCUUCUUCUCAAUCUCCAUCUUCUUCCUCCCUCCCCAUCAAGGUCGCUUCUUUCUCAGCACUCUCUCCAGUGGCCAACGACAUGGCAGCUUCAGGUCAACAAACACAGAACAUGAAGGCCACUUCUAGCGAGAGAUUGGGUUGAGAGUAGAUGCAGCUUUACCCCUCACUGGAAUUGCUAAUGAGUUAGUAGUAAGCUUACGAGGGUGUGACUUCCACACUUGUGUGCAACAUCAACUUUCUGAUACAUAACUGAAUCUAUGAGCAAAGAACAUGGUGUCUACCAGUCUGUUCUCUGCUAAGCUUACCUUAGUAUUGGAAUGAAGUAAAGAAUUUUGGGUGUGUAUAUUUAUGUGCUAAUAUAAGGUUUUUAAGACUAUUUC